This is a long non-coding RNA of Acinonyx jubatus (cheetah), 873 nucleotides long. RefSeq lists it as uncharacterized. NCBI's taxonomy places the organism in Eukaryota, Metazoa, Chordata, Mammalia, Carnivora, Felidae. The transcript has 4 exons. The record is from RefSeq and is a predicted model, not a curated record.
AAUGACACUUCCUGUGUUGCAUCAUAAUAAGUCCCCACAGCAGCCGCUUUGGUAAUACUGACUCCCUCCAUUUUCUUUCUACUACUUUUUAAGCUAUGUAAAGUUGCGCUUUCACGAAAAGCAUCCAGUUAGCGUCGCUUCAGCAUCAAUCUCGCGCCCAACACUGGAUUAGUCAUGAAGGAAAUGAAGCACUUCUGACCCGUCGUCUCAGUCACCAUUACAAGCUACAAAGACUCUUCAUGAUAAAUCACAGAGGUGAGGGGAAGAGGUGGUUACAAGAACAACAUCACCAGUAUCUUUCAAAUACAUUAAGAGCUGAAGCUUGUGUCACAUAAUGAGUCAGCAGGGGACCUUCUGCAAUCUCUUUGAGGCCCAGGAAUGGGGCAGGAGCUCUGUCUGCCCCUCCUCUGAGCUGGAACCUCCCUUGGCCAGGAGUCAGGCCCUGCUGCCCCAGCCACUGGGGCCCAAGAUGUCCCACAGCCUCGCCGGAAAUGUCUGAGACUCGGGUCCCAUCCAAAGCUCACUUUGCCCGCAGCGGGUCUGGGGACGGAGCAACCCUUAAGGAUGCAUCCACGGGAGGGAAGGAUCGUCGGCGUUCACAUCUCUGGCUCCCCAAUCCAGCUUCACAAAAGCUAAGCCUGUCUGCCUGCCCCUCUCUCUGAGGACCCCGUGGCGGGAGAAGCCAAACCGAGGCACCGGAGGCUUCUGCCGAUCUAGGAGCAAGCCGGUUAAAAGCCACGGUCUGCAUGAGGUUGCAGGUGUCCUGGCAGCCUGGGUUCCCUUCCUGGGUUGGUGUUGGGGCUAAUUAAGGGGUUAACAUAGGCCACAUAAAAAUAGUUUUAUCGGUAGAAUAAAUACAUUUUUCUUUUUUAA